AGAUUGAACGCUGGCGGCAGGCCUAACACAUGCAAGUCGAGCGGCAGCACGGGUACUUGUACCUGGUGGCGAGCGGCGGACGGGUGAGUAAUGCCUAGGAAUCUGCCUGGUAGUGGGGGAUAACGCUCGGAAACGGACGCUAAUACCGCAUACGUCCUACGGGAGAAAGCAGGGGACCUUCGGGCCUUGCGCUAUCAGAUGAGCCUAGGUCGGAUUAGCUAGUUGGUGAGGUAAUGGCUCACCAAGGCGACGAUCCGUAACUGGUCUGAGAGGAUGAUCAGUCACACUGGAACUGAGACACGGUCCAGACUCCUACGGGAGGCAGCAGUGGGAAUAUUGGACAAGUGGCGAAAGCCUGAUCCAGCCAUGCCGCGUGUGUGAAGAAGGUCUUCGGAUUGUAAAGCACUUUAAGUGGAGAAGGCAGUUACCUAAUACGUAUCUAGUUUUGACGUUACCGACAAGAAUAAGCAACGGCUAAACGUCUAGUGA
RNAcentral lists this ribosomal RNA (489 nucleotides) under uncultured soil bacterium. RNAcentral's name for it is "bacterial SSU rRNA". It matches the Rfam family "Bacterial small subunit ribosomal RNA", at positions 26 to 510 of the family's 1533-position model. The record is from RNAcentral.